This 809-nucleotide ribosomal RNA is filed under the name Tsukamurella sp. RNAcentral's name for it is "bacterial SSU rRNA". It matches the Rfam family "Bacterial small subunit ribosomal RNA", at positions 37 to 859 of the family's 1533-position model. The record is from RNAcentral. Lineage: Bacteria; Bacillati; Actinomycetota; Actinomycetes; Mycobacteriales; Tsukamurellaceae.
UGGCGGCGUGCUUAACACAUGCAAGUCGAACGGUAAGGCCCCUUCGGGGGUACACGAGUGGCGAACGGGUGAGUAACACGUGGGUGACCUGCCCUGUACUUCGGGAUAAGCCUGGGAAACUGGGUCUAAUACCGGAUAUGACCUUCCCCUGCAUGGGGGUUGGUGGAAAGCUUUUGCGGUACAGGAUGGGCCCGCGGCCUAUCAGCUUGUUGGUGGGGUAAUGGCCUACCAAGGCGACGACGGGUAGCCGGCCUGAGAGGGCGACCGGCCACACUGGGACUGAGACACGGCCCAGACUCCUACGGGAGGCAGCAGUGGGGAAUAUUGCACAAUGGGCGAAAGCCUGAUGCAGCGACGCCGCGUGAGGGAUGACGGCCUUCGGGUUGUAAACCUCUUUCAGUAGGGACGAAGCGCAAGUGACGGUACCUACAGAAGAAGCACCGGCCAACUACGUGCCAGCAGCCGCGGUAAUACGUAGGGUGCGAGCGUUGUCCGGAUUUACUGGGCGUAAAGAGCUCGUAGGCGGUUUGUCACGUCGUCUGUGAAAACCCGAGGCUUAACCUCGGGCCUGCAGGCGAUACGGGCAGACUUGAGUACUGUAGGGGAGACUGGAAUUCCUGGUGUAGCGGUGGAAUGCGCAGAUAUCAGGAGGAACACCGGUGGCGAAGGCGGGUCUCUGGGCAGUAACUGACGCUGAGGAGCGAAAGCGUGGGUAGCGAACAGGAUUAGAUACCCUGGUAGUCCACGCCGUAAACGGUGGGUACUAGGUGUGGGUUUCCUUCCACGGGAUCCGUGCCGUAGCUAACGCA